AGGUUCGUCGUGGAGUCUAAAAUGGGUAUAGAAAAGAAGGACAGAGCAAAAAAUACAGUGAGUGGUGUAGUAACAAAGGAAGCAAGAGAUAAGAAAAAAAUAGAGAAAAAUGAAAGAAGUGAUAAAAAAAUAAAAGUAAGGGUUUCGAAAGACAAUGCUACCCUUUCAUGUGUAAUACUAAUAUAGCUAGCUAGUUGGCCAACACAUGGAUGGAACCACCACUACAUCCCAAUUCUGAAAGCUUUACACGCUUUUAACACUCUCUAGAAAAGUGGUGUUCUUUUCUUUCUCUGAGGACUCCUAGCUUUUCCUUUUUCCCAUUCUCUUCUUAAAUCCAUGGACACAGCUCAGUGGGCACAGGUACACACAGAACUACUUUUUUCUGUUUUCUUUCCAUAUAAUCAUGAAAAUCUCUGCUGGGGUUGUGAUUUUCAACCAUAAUUUAGAUUAUUAAGUUUUGGGUUUGGGAAAUUAUUUUGAUUAUAUUGUUAGUUCUGAGGGGGGAAGUUAAGUUUCACUUUAUCCCCAACUUAUGAUUAUAUUGAUUAUAUUGUUUGUGAGGGAACACUUCAGGAAGGACAGCAAUGCCAAAGAGCUACUGAAGAGAGUGAAGGUGAGCCUUGUUUUAAAUUUAAAAUACUUCAUACAAUCAUUUGGGUGUUAUACAUGCACAGACUAAACUUGAUUUUGCUUUGCAGGCUUACAGAGUCACCAAGUAAUUUGCUGAUUAAAAGACUUCAGGCUAAUUCUAUCUUUUGCCAAGCAGCCAUAUAGUUUUCGUGUUAUGGAGUGAUGCACUUUUGNACGUGUAACAUGUGGCAGAGUCGUUCUCUUUAGAAUGAGUAACGUUAUUUUUGUUCGUGUAUUUCAUUUACUUGAAAUAUAGAUAUAAUGUGUUAAUUUAAUAUUUGUGCUUUCUUAUGCAAGGCAUGUCGUAAGUUUUAAUUAAUGAUGGAAGAACNAACACGGCAUAAACUAUGAAAGAAAGAAGUCACAUGAUGCGAUAGAGAAACAAACAAGGAGAUGAAAAAUGAAGAAAAAGAGGGAGGAUCGUAUAGAGUGACGCCUGGUGAUUGACA
This 1079-nucleotide long non-coding RNA is filed under the name Vigna radiata. RNAcentral's name for it is "long non-coding RNA (VRAD_LNC013879)". The record is from RNAcentral. Lineage: Eukaryota; Viridiplantae; Streptophyta; Magnoliopsida; Fabales; Fabaceae.